Molecule: ribosomal RNA, 360 nt
Filed under: uncultured Paramicrosporidium
Lineage: Eukaryota; Fungi; Rozellomycota
Description: SSU rRNA
Rfam family: Eukaryotic small subunit ribosomal RNA
Source: RNAcentral
CCAGCUCCAAUAGCGUAUAUUAAAGUUGUUGCAGUUAAAAAGCUCGUAGUUGAAAUAGGGUGAGGGGGAUUUUCGAGUUGUAAAACUCGUGGAUGCCCAUCACUGUUUGGGGGAGUGACUCUAGCGAGUUAACGGCCCCCGGGUUACUGUGAAGAAAUUAGAGUGUUUAAAGCAGGUAUAUGGCUUGAAUACAUCAGCAUGGAAUAACAAGAUAGGACAGGUGUCCCGAUUGUUGGUUAGGGGAGACAAGUAAAGAUUAAUAGGGUCAGUUGGGGGCAUUAGUAUUCAGUAGUCAGAGGUGAAAUUCUUGGAUUUACAGAAGACUAACAGGAGCGAAAGCAUUUGCCAAGGAUGUUUUCA